This 761-nucleotide ribosomal RNA is filed under the name bacterium endosymbiont of Otiorhynchus rugosostriatus. Its description in RNAcentral is "bacterial SSU rRNA". It matches the Rfam family "Bacterial small subunit ribosomal RNA", at positions 440 to 1186 of the family's 1533-position model. The record is from RNAcentral.
AAGGGAAGAAAUUAAUAUUACUAAUAAUAAUAUUAACUGACAUUACCUACAAAAGAAGUACCGGCUAACUCCGUGCCAGCAGCCGCGGUAAUACGGAGGGUGCUAGCGUUAAUCGGAAUUAUUGGGCGUAAAGGGUGAGUAGGUGGUUUUAUAAGUCAGAUGUGAAAUCUUUAAGCUUAACUUAAAAACUGCAUUUGAAACUGUUUUACUAGAGUUUCAUAGAGGGGGGUAGAAUUCCAGGUGUAGCGGUGAAAUGCGUAGAUAUCUGGAGGAAUAUCAGUGGCGAAGGCGGCCCCCUGGAUGAAAACUGACACUGAAUCACGAAAGCGUGGGUAGCAAACAGGAUUAGAUACCCUGGUAGUCCAUGCUGUAAACGAUGUCGAUUUGAAGAUUGUAAUUUUAUUAUAAUUUUCGUAGCUAACGUGUUAAAUCGACCGCCUGGGAAGUACGACCGCAAGGUUAAAACUCAAAUGAAUUGACGGGGGCCCGCACAAGCGGUGGAGCAUGUGGUUUAAUUCGAUACAACGCGAAAAACCUUACCUGCUCUUGACAUCCAAAGAAUGAAAUAGAAAUAUUUUAGUGUCCUUUAUUAUUAAGGAAGCUUUGAGACAGGUGCUGCAUGGCUGUCGUCAGCUCGUGUUGUGAAAUGUUGGGUUAAGUCCCGCAACGAGCGCAACCCUUAUCUUUUAUUGCCAACGAGUUAAGUCGGGAACUUAAAAGAAACUGCCGAUGAUAAAUCGGAGGAAGGAGAGGACGACGUC